RNAcentral lists this long non-coding RNA (476 nucleotides) under Setaria viridis. Its description in RNAcentral is "long non-coding RNA (SVIR_LNC000763)". The record is from RNAcentral. Lineage: Eukaryota; Viridiplantae; Streptophyta; Magnoliopsida; Poales; Poaceae.
CUGAUUGGAAUCUAUUCCAAGUUGGAUAGUGGUGAUAAAAGCUAAAGCAACAAGAUCUAAACAAAUAAACUUGUAUAUCUAACAAAUAUCGAUAACUUGAUGAAUAAAUCUAGACGAAACGACAAUGAUGUGCUGGAAGUUAAAGCCUAGAAAUUACUCGAUAAACACGGAACUUACAAUCCAGCCGGAGAUCAAGAUGAUGUAGCCCUGCUAGCCUGAAAGAACUCGUGAAGAAAAAGAGAACUUUGGCGAAGUCGCCGACUUGAAAGUAAAUUGCGAAUAAAGUAGAUUUGUUUGUUUAUGUGUGUACAUCUUUUUCAGACCUCGCAGGGUCUCUAUUUAUACCCAAGACUCCUAGUCCUAGUCGAUUAUGAUGCAAUACAAUAUCUAUAACCAAAGAAACAAACAUUCUAAACAAAACAACUCGUACAAGAGUCGGAAACGAACUUAGCCUCUAUUAACCAACUCUAUAUCCA